GGAGUGUGGCUCAAAUGGUAGAGCACUUGCCUAGUAAGCAGGAGGCCCUAAGUUCAAACCUCAGUAUCACCA
This is a non-coding RNA of Dipodomys ordii (Ord's kangaroo rat), 72 nucleotides long. Lineage: Eukaryota; Metazoa; Chordata; Mammalia; Rodentia; Heteromyidae. The record is from Rfam.